This 450-nucleotide ribosomal RNA is filed under the name uncultured bacterium. RNAcentral describes it as "partial 16S ribosomal RNA". It matches the Rfam family "Bacterial small subunit ribosomal RNA", at positions 338 to 795 of the family's 1533-position model. The record is from RNAcentral.
GCUACGGGUGGCAGCAGUAAGGAAUAUUGGUCAAUGGACGCAAGUCUGAACCAGCCAUGCCGCGUGGAGGAUGAAGGUCCUCUGGAUUGUAAACUUCUUUUAUUGGGGAAGAAACUCCCGAUUUCCAUCGGGAUUGACGGUACCAGAUGAAUAAGCACAGGCUAACUCCGUGCCAGCAGCCGCGGUAAUACGGAGGGUGCAAGCGUCACUCGGAUUAACGGGGGCGAAAGGGUGCGGGGGAGGGCAGGGAGAAAUCUCCGGGCUUAACCCGGAAACUGCCAUUGAUACUAUUUGUCUUGAAUACUCUGGAGGUGAGCGGAAUAUGUCAUGUAGCGGUGAAAUGCUUAGAUAUGACAUAGAACACCCAUUGCGAAGGCAGCUCACUACGGAAAUAUUGACGCUGAGGCACGAAAGCGUGGGGAUCAAACAGGAUUAGAUACCCCGGUAGUC